Small nuclear RNA from Echinops telfairi (small Madagascar hedgehog), 108 nucleotides. Lineage: Eukaryota; Metazoa; Chordata; Mammalia; Afrosoricida; Tenrecidae. The record is from Ensembl.
CUUUUCAACACUUUAAAGAGGGCUUCUGCAAUUGGAAGGAUACAGAGAAGAUUAGCAUGGCCCCUGUGCAAGAAUGACAUGCAAAUUCAUGAAGCGUUCCAUAUUUUA